UACGUAGGCGGAAAAUUAAGUCAGUAGUGAAAUCCCGCAGCUUAACUGUGGAACUGUUAUUGAUACUGGUUUUCUUGAAUAUAGUUGAGGUAGGCGGAAUGUGUAAUGUAGCGGUGAAAUGCUUAGAUAUUACACAGAACACCGAUUGCGGAGGCAGCUUACUAAGCUAUGAUUGACGCUGAGGUACGAAAGCGUGGGGAGCGAACAGGAUUAGAUACCCUGGUAGUCC
This 229-nucleotide ribosomal RNA is filed under the name uncultured bacterium. RNAcentral's name for it is "partial 16S ribosomal RNA". It matches the Rfam family "Bacterial small subunit ribosomal RNA", at positions 568 to 796 of the family's 1533-position model. The record is from RNAcentral.